AGGGAAACCGAGUCUUAACUGGGCGUUAAGUUGCAGGGUAUAGACCCGAAACCCGGUGAUCUAGCCAUGGGCAGGUUGAAGGUUGGGUAACACUAACUGGAGGACCGAACCGACUAAUGUUGAAAAAUUAGCGGAUGACUUGUGGCUGGGGGUGAAAGGCCAAUCAAACCGGGAGAUAGCUGGUUCUCCCCGAAAGCUAUUUAGGUAGCGCCUCGUGAACUCAUCUUCGGGGGUAGAGCACUGUUUCGGCUAGGGGGUCAUCCCGACUUACCAACCCGAUGCAAACUGCGAAUACCGAAGAAUGUUAUCACGGGAGACACACGGCGGGUGCUAACGUCCGUCGUGAAGAGGGAAACAACCCAGACCGCCAGCUAAGGUCCCAAAGUCACAGUUAAGUGGGAAACGAUGUGGGAAGGCUCAGACAGCCAGGAUGUUGGCUUAGAAGCAGCCAUCAUUUAAAGAAAGCGUAAUAGCUCACUGGUCGAGUCGGCCUGCGCGGAAGAUGUAACGGGGCUAAACUGUGCACCGAAGCUGCGGCAGCGACGCUUAUGCGUUGUUGGGUAGGGGAGCGUUCUGUAAGCCUGCGAAGGUGUCCUGUGAGGGAUGCUGGAGGUAUCAGAAGUGCGAAUGCUGACAUAAGUAACGAUAAUGCGGGUGAAAAGCCCGCUCGCCGGAAGACCAAGGGUUCCUGUCCAACGUUAAUCGGGGCAGGGUGAGUCGACCCCUAAGGCGAGGCCGAAAGGCGUAGUCGAUGGGAAACGGGUUAAUAUUCCCGUACUUGGUGUUACUGCGAAGGGGGGACGGAGAAGGCUAUGUUGGCCGGGCGACGGUUGUCCCGGUUUAAGCGUGUAGGCUGGU
RNAcentral lists this ribosomal RNA (858 nucleotides) under Salmonella enterica. Its description in RNAcentral is "partial 23S ribosomal RNA". It matches the Rfam family "Bacterial large subunit ribosomal RNA", at positions 670 to 1529 of the family's 2925-position model. The record is from RNAcentral. RNAcentral also lists the same sequence under 1 other name. Lineage: Bacteria; Pseudomonadati; Pseudomonadota; Gammaproteobacteria; Enterobacterales; Enterobacteriaceae.